Long non-coding RNA from Salvia miltiorrhiza (redroot sage), 670 nucleotides. RefSeq lists it as uncharacterized. The record is from RefSeq and is a predicted model, not a curated record. Lineage: Eukaryota; Viridiplantae; Streptophyta; Magnoliopsida; Lamiales; Lamiaceae. The transcript has 2 exons.
UUGACAAGUUCAAAAAACAAAGGCGAGGUGUAGGAGAUAGUGUUUCUAAUGAUUUGGAUGUCUAUUUAAGUGAGAAAGAAAGGGGAGUUGAUGAUUCAAAGAAUUUUGACAUAACAUCUUGGUGGAAGGUUAACCAACCUAGAUUGCCUAUUCUUGCUCAUCUUGCUCGGGAUGUGCUAUCGGUGCCUAUUUCUACGGUGGCAUCCGAGUCCGCUUUUAGCACGGGGGGGAGGAUUCUUGAUCCUUUUAGGAGUUCAUUGUCUCCUAAACUUGUGGAGAGUCUCAUUUGUUGCCAAGAUUGGUUAAGGAAGUCGAAAGAAGCCAUAACAAUCGAAGAGGAUAUAGAGGCCAUUCAAAAGCAUGAAGAAGCUUUGGCAAGUCUUGGCAUUGUUUGUGAAGAAGGGAAUGGAGAUAUGAUGGAGUCUUGAAGCCAAAUGAUGAAGAAGCAAUUGAAGUUGAAACUUUUGUGUUGUUUACUUAAAACUUUUAAAUUCUAAUUUUUAUGUUGAUGUUGGAUUAUUGGACAUUUGUAUUAAGGACUUGAAUUGAUGUUUGGUUGAUUUGGGACUUGUCACUUGUUUAGGAUUUAUUUGUUAAGAAAAUGGAUAUAUGAUGUUGUUUGCUUGUUUAGUAUUUUAAUUUAGGCUAUUUUAGUGACUUCUUUAGUGAA